RNAcentral lists this long non-coding RNA (8582 nucleotides) under Pomacea canaliculata. RNAcentral's name for it is "uncharacterized LOC112568314". The record is from RNAcentral. Lineage: Eukaryota; Metazoa; Mollusca; Gastropoda; Architaenioglossa; Ampullariidae.
GUCCGGCUCCGAAACGUCCGGCGGUGAAACGUCCGUCGGCAAAACGUCCGCACACGGUCGAGAGUGUGAUCAGCCCGAGGCAACGGCAAUCGCAACCUCUGACCAUCUUCACGUGCUCAUUCCCCGAAGUUCACGACAAUUGCGAUCAGCAAAGAAUCGUUGUCUACACACUGGGUUCUCGAGGAAUAAAAUUGUAAUAGAGACCUGUUCAAGGCUGUUCAUAUUCUCCGUUGUGAGUUGUCUUGGAAUCGGGACUGCUCCAGCACAACUGACUCAAUAGGUGCGUAAGACCCGCUCAGUCACAGAGUGCACAACGCUUCAUCACCAGAGUAACUGUUUGGUCGCAAACAGUAGAGGCUGAGGCUGGAAGAUAAGUGUUGGUCCUUGUUAGGCGCUGUUAAGCUUUAGACAGCAGUCCGGCCUAAAGGACGAGACAGACCCGUGGUGGCACACAGCAGUGCCAGUGCUCAUCGCUUCAUCAUCAGCAGCUGUCUGGUCGCAGACAGUAGAGCUCGAGGUUGGUAAGCGUUGGUCCUCAUUAGGCGUGGUCAAGCUCUGACCGCUGUCACGGCCUAAGAGGUGAGGACGAGACACGUGGUGGCACACGGCAGUGCCCGAGUCUAUGCGCUCGUGACUGAGGCGGCUACGAUCGACGGAGGAUACGACAACAUGACAAGAGACUUGUGGGAAGAGACAAGUGGCGAGUGUGUGUUAGACAAGUUAUUGUGCUGUGUGUAGUAGUAAAUGUAAUGAUACCUGGACUAGGCAUGGGGAAGUAACGGGACACCUAGAGAGCGGCCAUAUUUGAAAUUGUAUAAUCUUGUAAAUUGAUUUGUAAACCUCUCGAUCAUUAAUAGCCUUCUUUAUUACAAUAAAUUGCCUUCUGUUGGUUAUUGUAGAUGCGCGCUGGGGGCUCAAGAGUCAAGUAAAGUAUAAUUAGCAAUUUAGUGUAAGUGUACACGUACGGUAAAUGUCGGAGUGAGUUGGUAGAGGUGUCGAGAGUGUGAUCAGCCCGAGACUACGGCAAUCGCAACCUCUGACCGUCUUCACGUGUUCAUUCUCCUGAGUUCACGACACCAGGUUCCAUUACUUUUGGUUCCAAUCGCUAUCUUCCUUUCCAGUCCUUUUCCCUCCCGCCCGUUUCUUCCUACCUUUCUUUUCUACUCACUACUUUCUCACCCCUUUCUCCUCUCUUUCCAACCUCUUUCCUGCACUUCACGUCUAUCUCCCCCUAUCUUUUGUCUCCUCCUUUUCACCUUCUUUCUAUAUCCCUUCUCUUCCCUCUCACUCUUUCCUUCUCAAUUUGCUUCCCUUUGGUCCAGCUCUUUUCUGGACUCUCCUUUCCUGUUCUCCCACCCUUAGCAACACGUUCAUCUCUUUUUUCUGUUCUCCUCUAACACUUUCAUCCACUUUUCUAACCACUUCUUCCUUUCCCCUUAUUUUCAUGUCCCUCCUCUUCCCUCAAACACGUUAGUCUCUUUCCUCCCUUCCUACCCUUUCUACUUUCCCUGUUCUCUCUUAACCUUUCUCUCAGUUUCCCCUUCACCCCUCAAGAGUGUGGGGCUCUACUGCUGGAGGAAGCAGCCACCAACGUCGCCACCUAAUGUUGCACGUGACUACGACUAUCAACUGACCCCAACAACAGGUGGGUAGGAGAGGACAGUGACUUUGUCCACCAAGACAUCAACGAUCACCUGACACUGAAUAUGGCGGUCAGUGACCACGCCGAGUAAAGCAGCAGCGGCUACCAGGAUAUACUUACAGGUUUCUCGCUACUCCACCAACUCUUUCUCGACUAAUGGGACUGGAUUAAAAGACUGGCGUGACCAUCACUGCCAUCAACGUGGCCAGCUCAUGUUGCUCGGUGACUACGACUAUCACACCAUCGACCUCAUCAACAGCUGGCUAGGAAAGGACGACGACUGCGCCGAACAAAGCAACGGCGGCUACCCAAGGGAUGUAUUCCUUUCCUAUUCCUUGCACUGUUUUCCUUCCUCUCUCUCCUUCCUAUCCUUUGGUACAUCGGCAACCAAUUUUUCAAAACAAACUGUAUUUCGUUCCCCUAAGUGGCAGCCACGUGGCAUCUUACAUCUUAACCAAUAACAAAAACUAAGAGGGCUUAAAAAAAAUCUCAAAAACCAAUAAAAUGUCAAAAUUAGAUAUAAAAACUUUAAUUUUUUUGUUAAUUUAUGAAUUAGAUGCAAAAGUGCAAACGUUAAGGGCCUAAAAAAUCUUUCCGUUUUGUGGUUGAUAAAAAUAUAUUAAAACCUUUGAAAUUAACACAAAUCUGAACGAAAAUAUGAGUAAACACGAUGCCGCUAGUAGGUCUGGGUCCACCGCUUUCAGCACCAAGUGGUGUAAAAUGGCGGGAGCCGCAGCCAUAUGGCAUCUGGAACUAUAUAUAUAUAAAACCAAUAAGAGUUAUAAACAUAAGGGUAACAAAAUGCUUAUGUAUAUAUGGGGUUGCAAAGAAAUUCAUAAAACCUUUGAGGGGAAAAUGUGAAUAAUGGCGAGAGUGGCAGCCACAUGGCAUCUCCAUGAAAAGUUGAAAACUUACAUGGCUUACAAAAGGCUUGUCCAUUUAUGUGGUUAAAAAAUCACAGCAUCUCACACAACCAAUACAAGUUUGAAGCUGUAAGAGCGCUUGCAAAAACUUGGCGAUUUAUGUGUCGAUACAGCAAAUCGUUAAAUACUUGCAAAAACAAAACUAUGUGAAACAGAAAUGAGAAGAUGCCUCUACUUCGCUAUUAAGUCUAUGUCAACAACUGCCCGCACAAAGCGAUACAAAAAUGGCGGGAGUAGCAAACUGGCAUCUCAAGGUUUUAAUCAUUGAUUGGUUUUAAGAGGGAACAAAGUGCUUAUCUUUUAUGUGGUUAAUCAUUUUAAAAUGUAAAAAAAUGAUCUCUAAAACGGAGAUGAAUAAGAUGCUUGCACUUUGCCAUGCUAGUAGGUCUGUGUCGACCACUUCCUGCACUAAUGGCGGAAGCGGCGGCCACAUGGCAUCUGGAACUAUCCAAUACGAGUUAUAAACAUAAGGAGCAACAAAAUACUUAUGCGUAUGUGUGGUUGCAAAAAAGAAAAUCACAAAACCUUUGACGGAAAAGUCUAUAAAACAGGAAUGAGUACGAUGCCUACACCUCAUCAUGCUAAGUCUGUGUCGACUGUUUCCCACACCAUGCAAUGCAAUAGGGCGCCAUUUUGCAUUGCUUGGUGUGGGAAGAGGUAGUCAACUGGUAUCUGUCAUAACUUCUUGUAGGAUAACGGAUGUACGUCACAGGUCUCUGGAUGCUAUGUGAACAGAGGCGAGCGAGUGAUUGUUCAGAGGGGAGUACAGGGUGGGGCGUGAAGCUGUCUGCGUUAAAGGGAUAUUAUAGUUUGUUUGUUGUUGUUUUUUUUUGUUGCUUCUUUUGUUGUUGUUUUUGGAUUGUUUUAUAUAAGUGUCGGGUAUGGAGCAGCGAGCAGACGGAGGGCGAGUGACGUCACCGUUUGUGUUUAGCUCCGCCUACAGGUCCGCCAUUUUGUUAUGGUCGUCAAGAGUUACGCGAUAAGAAAUAUGCACUCAAACCAAUAAAGAGUUAAAAACAUAAGGGGAAACAAAAUAUUUGAAUUAGAAGCAAAAAUGCAAACAGAAAGAGACACAAAAUCCUUCCGUUUAGUGGUUCAAGGUUGAUAAAAAAAAUCCAUUAAAAUCUGUAAAGACCGCUUCCUCCACCAAGCAAUUCAAAAUGGUGGAAGCGGCUGCCAACUGCAUCUCAAACUAAACAAUAAAGAGUUAUAAACAUGUGGUUGCAAAAAAACUCAUAAAACCUUUGACAGAGAGUUUUACUAAAUAUGAAUGAAUACGAUGCCUACACUUCGCCAUGUAGGUAGGUCUGGAUCGACCGCUUCCCGCACCAUGUGAUGAAUAAUGGCGGGAGUGGCAGACACAUGGCAUCUGGUACUAACCAAUGAAAAGUUAAAAACGUAUUUUUUUAUAUUUUUAAGGUCUUUAUAAAAUUACUCAUCGCAUUAAUGGAGACGCCUACUGCGCUGUGCAAGGUCCGUGUCCAUCUCUUUCCUCCUAAGACGAUACGAAAUGGCGGAAGCAUGUCAAGCUAACCAAUCAAAUGUCAACUUACAAGGUUCGGUUUUAUAUUCAUAACAAUUUUUUUUUAAAUAGCAAUAGAUUAGAUGAAAAAUUGCAAACAUAAGAGGCUUAAAAUGGUACAUAUUUACGUGGAUGACAAAAUAAAUCCCUUAGAAAAACAUGAACAAGAAAUGAAGAAGACAACUUUGCCAUCCUAGUCAGUCGAUCGCUUUUCGCUCACCAAAUGAUGCGAAAUUAGCGGAGGCGGCAACCACAUGGCACUUCAAGGUAACCCAUGCAAAGUUAAAAACUUAAUAGUCUUUCAAAACGCUUAUCAAUUUAUGUGGUUAUAAAACCUUAACAAUAUUUAAACAUAUAUAAAAAUUACAAAUGAAUGAGGUGAUGAUCCAUUGUAGAAGGUGUCAUCAAAAAUGGUGCAGCAAUGUCGGGAGCGGCAAUCACAGGGUAUCUUGAACUGACCAAUUAAAAAUUAAAUGUUGGGGACAUCGUCUAGAGAUGCUAGGCAGAGCACAUUAACCAGAGGAACGAAAAGUACUAGCAGUGGGUCACGUGGCACCCUGACCAUGCCUACUAAGCCACAAUGUCCGUCUGGUUAAUAGACGAUUGCUCGGCUUUGUUGCCAACACCUGUACUGUGCACCUGUACUGUACUUUUAUCAUGGAAAGCUUUCGCCCUGUUUUGUCGUAUUUAUCUCAUGCUAGAUUUUAUGUCAGGAAUGGGGAUUUGCAGUCUAUUAACGAGUGGCUACUCGUGUCAAAUGUACCGACAACGAUCGCCAUUGUCUCCAGCAGGUCAAUCACCGUCGUUAUCCAUUCAGUCUUUUUCGUUGUGUCCUUCAUCGCAGCUAAUGAAAUUCGGAUGACUGUGGAUUACCUCAGAUAAAUGGUCGUUCCAUAUCCGCCUUUACAUCUUGCACUAUGAUUUCUGUUCUUGUGGGUUUCCGUGUUACAUUGUUUGUUUGUACAGUUACCAAGUCAAACCCUAAGUUUGGUGCAAUGUAUGUGAGUAACUUGGGACACUUGGUACCUCUUGCGCGUGAUAAGGCACGAUAACCGCAUCGAUUCUGUUACGUGGCCCAGUUUUUAUGUAAAUUUUUAUGUAAAUGUUAACAGACUGUUCUUUUGUGAAGUUAGUACCGCGGACUUUUUCUUUGGUUGUUCUGUGCAAUCUUGCUACACAAAGGUUUGUGCGCUUCAGCUGUCCACGUCUAGCGACCUUAAUUAAUACACGUGGCCUCUGACCGAUAAUCUGUGAAAAAUGUCAACCAUCUUUGCAGUGUCAUAGAUAGUUGUUAUAGUUUCAAGAUUAGUUGCUUGGUGCCUUUGGGGUAACCCUUCUCAAUUUUUUUUGUUUUCCCCCGAGACAUCUAUUCAACAACACUGCGGCCAAGAAAGUGGAUUCACGUGGACGGCUGAGGAAACAUAAGAUGAACAUUGCAAUACAUCGGUGGUUUGAAGGUCAUUCGGGAACAAACUCUGCCGACAAGAGGAAUAAAGAAACUGCAAUGGAAGGAAUGGAAAACCAGUCCAGUCAAUUCUACAAGGGAACAAAAAAAAAAAAAAAAAAAAAAAAAAAAGGACAAAGACAUUGAGGACCUUCAGUUAGAAGGUGAAAUCUUCUAUACGCUUUUGUGAGGUCACAGGCUUGAUGGUGAGGCCAUGGAACGCUUUUGGUCUUGCCUAGGUUUGCAUGGAGCAAAGGAAUGACUUUCCAACAGGAAGAUCUGCAAAAGCAGCACUUUACUUUGCUGAUACAAAGUAUCCAUUGCUGAGACACUGUAUUUGAGACUUAAGAAGGAAGGAGAAACGAAGGCAAAAUCCAAGAAUGUCAUCACAGCAUGAAAGCAAGUAGUGGCCACUAUUCAUCGGACAAAGUUCCGUGAUGUCAUCCCAUUCCUCUGAUAUCAAGUAUACAGAUGCCAGGACAAACAUGAGAAACUUUACAUUUUUGGCGUGGAACUGAGAAUUGCGAGAGGAUGUAGUUAGCACUGAGUUUUCUCUGUGCGAGUUGUCUAAGUAGAAUUAUUUGGUUUUUACACUGUCUUGGAGAGUAUUCGUGUUAUUGUGACCUGACCAGAACUAGCUUUAAAAAAAGCUAACAAAGAAGAACAGAGAAGUAGACAGCGGGCACUUCAGUAAAAGACGAGAUGCCCAUGGACAGGUCGUUGUUUUGUGUUGUUGAAAGAACGCGUGUGGACGCCGUGUGUGUGUUGCUCUUGUGAGAGUAGCGUCCGUGACAGUCACGUCUCAGUCACGUGAUCGACAUACUCUUUAAAUAAAGUGUUCUCAGCUGCAAUUUCUGGCACAUCCAAUAGUCAGUUAAAAAUAGGAAACCUUACAAAAGACAUCAGACCAUGAAAACUUUUUAUUGGCUCUCUUUUUGAAGCUAUUUGAUAGUUCAUUGUCUGUGUUUCACCGUGUUCAUGUACCCAGUAGGACUGUAGCAUCCUAAAUAAGCCUAAAAUGACGUCAUGCUGCAUCAUUUUGCAUAAUAACGUCAUGCACACGUCAUCCAUUGCAAAAGAAGUGGAGAAAAGUCUUCCCCAGCAUGUCGUCUGCAGUGAGACCAGUUCAAUAUGGUGAGGGACUUCCUAUUCCAGAACCUCCAGCAGAAUAUUCUCUUGAUUCAGCUGAUGAAGACGAGGGUGGGCCGACCUGUUCUUCUCCUGGUCAGUCAGCAUGCAGUGAUCCAGAUUUUCACUGUUGUGUAUCAUCAACCCCACAAAGAAUAACACGGGAAGAACUUAAUGACCUGGUUCGUAUCCAAGUACAAGGCAGAAUUGCCAAGUUCUAGACUCCAACAGUGAAAUCUUCUACAAGAUGUCACAAUUACUUCAGAUCGAAAGCGCCACAAGCAGUUGAAGCCUUUCUUCAGAAUGGAAGGCAAUCUGUUUCGAUACUGAGGGCCUCGUGAAUGCCUUAGAAAUAACUCAUGGCCUACAAGAAUGUAGACUAUUUGUAGACUCUUCAAAACUGGCUGUGCUCUUGCACAAUGGAAACCGUCUUCCAUUUAUUCCAGUAGCGCACGCAGGAAAGAGAGGACAACUGUGGUAUGGUUAGUUAUAAACAUGGCCAACGCUUUCAUCACGAUAUGACAACAGUGGAAAAAGAUACCAUGGAAAAUUGUCCACUGCAAUGCUGGCUGACUACUGCUGGACAAUCCCCCAGAGAUGCUCCCUAACAUCUGUACAAGAGACAGAAAUCUCAGACGUAGUCGAUGACUUCAUUUGUUACAGGUAUUAACCAAAGCUCCAUUACUAUUAGCAUGCAUUUCGUGAAGUACACUGUAUUCAAUAAUUGUUGUAGAUCACGCACGCACGCACGCUACUGUUGUUGCCAAGACUGGGUGAUGGGUGGCUAGCCAGUCUAGAAAAGACCUCAGUAGGCGGGGGAUGUGGGUCACGUGGUACAUCUUGGCGCUCGCCUGCGGACAUGUGGACAGGAGGUUGAACAGCAGGGCUCUAAACAGUCAAGUACAAGUUAGGUUUAGUAGAUAAUAUAAACUGUAUGAAUAGAACGUCACAUCAGACCACAAAGUGUGAUAAUUCUUUCUUAAACUAAGUUUUUACCCCUCACCUAAAAUUUUCAUGCAUUUUCACGCUCUCUCUCUCUCUCUCUCACACACACAUAAACACACCCACACACACACACCACUCACUCACACACAUACACCACUGGUACAUUACACACAAAACCACUCACACACCACACAUACACCACGCACGCCACACACCAUUCACACACACCACUGACACACCACACAUACACCAUCAGACCUGCACAACUCAUUACAAUCAGUUUCAGUCAGCUCUAUUCAGGUGUUUCAGGUUUUAUACGAUGAGAUAAUAAAAUCAGAAGAAUUUUCGUGUGAUCUUGAUGUGGAACUUAUCGUCAACAACUACCUCUCCGACCUCAAUGUUGACAGUGGCGUUUUGACGUGUAAACUGUUGAGGGGACGCAACUCUCUCUGUAAAUGGCUGCUCUGUGGCUGUUGUUGUGAUUAUCCCAGGUUCCCCUUUUUGUGCAAUUCUUUCUCCAUCUUCCUGUACAACGUCCCUGUGAGGUACCGAGAUUUCCGCUUCUUCCGCCUGAGGCAGCAGAAAAUCUUAGAUCGCCCUCCACGGCAACAAAGGCUACGCCGUGUCCUGCCACUACGCCUCCCUCGUGCACAGCGGCAAUGACCUCACGUAGUACGUCACGCGCAUAGUCUGACGUCAUGCAGUUACUUUCUGACAGGUCAAGGACGGUCAUGUCGGGAAGGUUGAGAGCGGCCUGUGACAGGCGCAACGCCCCCAGGGGCGAAAUCAUAGAAUACUGAAGAAGAAGUUCCUGAAGACGAGGCAGACAAUGAAGUCCAUCAGCCAGGUAGACGGCGCCACUUUCUGUCACAGGAUUGUGGAUGAGGUUGAGGUGACGAAGGUACUUGAAGACGCCUCGGCGCACGGCGUCCGCCAGAAGCCUGAAGCUGUUGUCGUCCAAGUCGUUCUCCUGUAGCA